UACGUAGGGGGCAAGCGUUGUCCGGAAUUAUUGGGCGUAAAGAGCGCGUAGGCGGUCUGAUAAGUCGGUUGUGAAAGUCGGGGGCUCAACCCUCGGAUGCCGAUCGAUACUGUCAGGCUAGAGUCCGGAAGAGGCGAGUGGAAUUCCUGGUGUAGCGGUGAAAUGCGCAGAUAUCAGGAAGAACACCCGUGGCUAAGGCGGCUCUCUAGUACGGUACUGACGCUGAGACGCGAAAGCGUGGGGAGCGAACAGG
This 253-nucleotide ribosomal RNA is filed under the name uncultured bacterium. RNAcentral describes it as "partial 16S ribosomal RNA". It matches the Rfam family "Bacterial small subunit ribosomal RNA", at positions 524 to 776 of the family's 1533-position model. The record is from RNAcentral.